CAGCCGCCACGGGAAUACAGAGGGUGCGAGCGUUAAUCGUAUUUACUGGGCGUAAAGCGUGCGUAGGCGGCUUCUUAAGUCGGAUGUGAAAUCCCUGAGCUUAACUUAGGAAUUGCAUUCGAUACUGGGAAGCUAGAGUAUGGGAGAGGAUGGUAGAAUUCCAGGUGUAGCGGUGAAAUGCGUAGAGAUCUGGAGGAAUACCGAUGGCGAAGGCAGCCAUCUGGCCUAAUACUGACGCUGAGGUACGAAAGCAUGGGGAGCAAACAGGAUUAGAUACCCCUGUAGUCCCUGUCUCUUAUAC
This 301-nucleotide ribosomal RNA is filed under the name uncultured bacterium. RNAcentral's name for it is "partial 16S ribosomal RNA". It matches the Rfam family "Bacterial small subunit ribosomal RNA", at positions 509 to 807 of the family's 1533-position model. The record is from RNAcentral.